UACGUAGGGGGCAAGCGUUGUCCGGAUUUAUUGGGCGUAAAGAGCGUGUAGGCGGCCUUACAGGUCAGCUGUGAAAACUCGAGGCUCAACCUCGAGACGUCGGUUGAAACCGUAAGGCUAGAGUCCGGAAGAGGAGAGUGGAAUUCCCGGUGUAGCGGUGAAAUGCGCAGAUAUCGGGAAGAACACCCGUGGCGAAGGCGGCUCUCUGGGACGGUACUGACACUGAGGCACGAAAGCAUGGGGAGCAAACAGG
This 253-nucleotide ribosomal RNA is filed under the name uncultured bacterium. Its description in RNAcentral is "partial 16S ribosomal RNA". It matches the Rfam family "Bacterial small subunit ribosomal RNA", at positions 524 to 776 of the family's 1533-position model. The record is from RNAcentral.